UAGCCAUGAGCAGGCUGAAGUGGAGGUAAAACUCCAUGGAGGGCCGAACCCACUCCCGUUGAAAUGGUAGGGGAUGACUUGUGGCUAGCGGAGAAAUUCCAAUCGAACCCGGAGAUAGCUGGUUCUCUCCGAAAUAGCUUUAGGGCUAGCCUCAAUUAACAUUACCGCAGGUAAAGCACUGAAUGAGCUAGGGGGCGAAAGCUUACUGAACUCUAUCAAACUCAGAAUGGCGGAUAAUGAAUGAUUGGGAGUCACACUACGUGAGAUAAGUUUCGUGGUGGAAAGGGAAACAGCCCAGACCCACAGCUAAGGUCCCAAAGUACAGUUAAGUGGAAAAGGAUGUGAAAUUGCGCAGACAACCAGGAUGUUGGCUCAGAAGCAGCCACUCAUUCAAAGAGUGCGUAAUAGCUCACUGGUCGAGUGAUUUUGCGCCGAAAAUUUAACGGGGCUAAACUGUACACCGAAGCUUGGGAAUAUACAUUUGUAUGUUGGUAGGAGAGCGUUGUGUAAGGGGUGAAGUCGUAGCGAAAGCGGCGGUGGACUUUACACAAGUGAGAAUGCCGGAAUGAGUAGCGAGAAUUAUGUGAGAAUCAUAAUGGCCGAAAGACUAAGGUUUUAGAAGGAAGGUUCGUCCGCUUCUAGUUAGCCGGGAGCUAAGGCGAGGCCGAGAGGCGUAGUCGAUGCACAUACGGUUGAGAUUCCGUAGCUACCUUGCAUUUAAGCGAAGGGACACAUUUGAAGGGCAUGACCCGGGCGUUGGUUGACCCGGGCGUAAGGGACCGAAAAUAAGUAGGGAAGCAUGCUUGGAUGGUGGCGAGAAAAGCUUCGUGUAUAUAAGCAGGGUACCCGUACUGCAAACCGACACAGGUAGUCAGGAAGAGGAUUCUAAGGCCAUCGGGAGAAGCGUUGUUAAGGAACUCGGCAAAUUGACCCCGUAACUUCGGAAUAAGGGGUGCUCACGCGAGUGAGCCGCAGUGAAUAGGUCCAGGCAACUGUUUAUCAAAAACACAGCUCUCUGCUAAAUCGUAAGAUGACGUAUAGGGGGUGACACCUGCCCGGUGCUGGAAGGUUAAGAGGAGGGGUGCAAGCUCCGAAUUGAAGCCCCAGUAAACGGCGGCCGUAACUAUAACGGUCCUAAGGUAGCGAAAUUCCUUGUCGGGUAAGUUCCGACCCGCACGAAUGGUGUAAUGAUCUGGACACUGUCUCAACAACGCACCCGGCGAAAUUGUAGUACCGGUGAAGAUGCCGGUUACCCGCGGCAAGACGGAAAGACCCCAUGGAGCUUCACUGUAGCCUGAUAUUGGGUCUCGGUAUUUUAUGUACAGGAUAGGCGGGAGACUUGGAAACCAGCACGCCAGUGUUGGCGGAGUCACCCUUGGGAUACCGCUCUUAAAGUAUUGAGAUUCUAACCUGCAGCCAUGAAUCUGGCUGGGGGACAUUGUCAGGUGGGCAGUUUGACUGGGGCGGUCGCCUCCAAAAGAGUAACGGAGGCGUUCAAAGGUUCACUCAGCAUGGACGGAAACCAUGCCUUAGAGUGCAAACGCAUAAGUGAGCCUAACUGCGAGACUGACGGGUCGAGCAGUAACGAAAGUUGGAGUUAGUGAUCCGGCGGUAUGUGAGUGGAAAUGCCGUCGCUCAACGGAUAAAAGCUACCCUGGGGAUAACAGGCUGAUCUCCCCCAAGAGUCCACAUCGACGGGGAGGUUUGGCACCUCGAUGUCGGCUCAUCGCAUCCUGGAGCUGAAGUCGGUUCCAAGGGUUGGGCUGUUCGCCCAUUAAAGCGGUACGCGAGCUGGGUUCAGAACGUCGUGAGACAGUUCGGUCCCUAUCUGUCGUGGGCGUAGGAUAUUUGAAGGGCGCUGUUCCUAGUACGAGAGGACCGGAAUGGACGCACCGCUGGUGUAUCGGUUGUCAUGCCAAUGGCACGGCCGAGCAGCUAUGUGCGGAUGGGAUAAACGCUGAAAGCAUCUAAGCGUGAAGCCCUCCCUAAGAUAAGAUAUCCCACUGUUUACAGUUAAGACCCCUUAUGGACUAUGAGGUUGAUAGGCUGCGUGUGUAAGUAUGGUGACAUAUUUAGCUAGGCAGUACUAAUAGGUCGAGGGCUUGACCU
Molecule: ribosomal RNA, 2109 nt
Filed under: human gut metagenome
Description: bacterial LSU rRNA
Rfam family: Bacterial large subunit ribosomal RNA
Source: RNAcentral